AUUGAACGCUGGCGGCAGGCCUAACACAUGCAAGUCGAACGAGUGGCGGACGGGUGAGUAAUGUCUGGGAAACUGCCUGAUGGAGGGGGAUAACUACUGGAAACGGUAUCUAAUACCGCAUACCAUCGGAUGUGCCCAUAUGGGAUUAGCUAGUAGGUGGGGAAAAGGCUCACCUAGGCGACGAGCCCUAGCUGGUCUGAGAGGAUGACGCGCCACACUGGAACUGAGACACGGUCCAGACUCCUACGUGAGGCAGCAGUGGGGAAUAUUGCACAAUGGGCGCAAGCCUGAUGCAGCCAUUCCGCGUGUAUGAAGAAGGCCUUCGGGUUGUAAAGUACUUUCAGCGGGGAGGCGUUACCCGCAGAAGAAGCACCGGCUAACUCCGUGCCAGCAGCCGCGGUAAUUC
Molecule: ribosomal RNA, 406 nt
Filed under: uncultured bacterium
Lineage: Bacteria
Description: partial 16S ribosomal RNA
Rfam family: Bacterial small subunit ribosomal RNA
Source: RNAcentral